This 47-nucleotide transfer RNA is filed under the name Tragelaphus spekii (Sitatunga). RNAcentral's name for it is "partial tRNA-Pro". Lineage: Eukaryota; Metazoa; Chordata; Mammalia; Artiodactyla; Bovidae. The record is from RNAcentral.
CCCACCACCAACUCCCAAAGCUGAAGUUCUAUUUAAACUAUUCCAUG